Molecule: small nucleolar RNA, 129 nt
Filed under: Echinops telfairi (small Madagascar hedgehog)
Lineage: Eukaryota; Metazoa; Chordata; Mammalia; Afrosoricida; Tenrecidae
Description: Small nucleolar RNA SNORA61 (ENSETEG00000025480.1)
Source: RNAcentral
GCCCUCCAGAUUUCUUACUCCGCUGAUCUAAAUAUUGGCCUGAGUGGCUAAAAAAAGAAGAAAACUAAAAUGGAAGUGGACUUGUAGUUCACUGACAUACAAUGACAUGCAAGUUCAUUUCAAGCAUAU